UACGGAGGAUCCAAGCGUUAUCCGGAUUUAUUGGGUUUAAAGGGUGCGUAGGCGGCCAGUUAAGUCAGGGGUGAAAGACGGUAGCUCAACUAUCGCAGUGCCUUUGAUACUGAUUGGCUUGAAUGUACUUGAGGUAGGCGGAAUGUGACAAGUAGCGGUGAAAUGCAUAGAUAUGUCACAGAACACCAAUUGCGAAGGCAGCUUACUACACAGCGAUUGACGCUGAGGCACGAAAGCGUGGGGAUCAAACAGG
RNAcentral lists this ribosomal RNA (253 nucleotides) under uncultured bacterium. Its description in RNAcentral is "partial 16S ribosomal RNA". It matches the Rfam family "Bacterial small subunit ribosomal RNA", at positions 524 to 776 of the family's 1533-position model. The record is from RNAcentral.